Molecule: transfer RNA, 82 nt
Filed under: Deinococcus puniceus
Lineage: Bacteria; Thermotogati; Deinococcota; Deinococci; Deinococcales; Deinococcaceae
Rfam family: tRNA
About the family: Transfer RNA (tRNA) molecules are approximately 80 nucleotides in length. Their secondary structure includes four short double-helical elements and three loops (D, anti-codon, and T loops).
Source: Rfam by way of RNAcentral
GCGGGGAUGGCGGAAUUGGUAGACGCGCCAGAUUUAGGAUCUGGUUCCGGAAGGAGUGAGGGUUCAAGUCCCUUUUCUCGCA